AGAGUGUGAGCUACUCUCUACAUUUUCUACAACUCUUUGAUUUGAUUUUUGAUUUUUGUUUUUUCAUUUUCCAAAUAAAUACUCUGCAUGAAAUUGACCAGUGUGAAACAAGUGGAUCACAUAAAAGAAGAAUUACCUCCUGAAAAGACUGCACAGGGACAUGUAUGAACAGACCUCUUCAAGUGGAGUCAAAGACACAUUCAAACCCUUGAGAAGACUCCAACAAGACACCUGUGCCAACAUGUGAUCACCUGAAAUGAACCUGGCCAGCUGCCAGCUGAAAAUGG
Notolabrus celidotus (New Zealand spotty) is the source of this 287-nucleotide long non-coding RNA. RefSeq lists it as uncharacterized. The record is from RefSeq and is a predicted model, not a curated record. Lineage: Eukaryota; Metazoa; Chordata; Actinopteri; Labriformes; Labridae. The transcript has 2 exons.